Molecule: long non-coding RNA, 485 nt
Filed under: Pan paniscus (pygmy chimpanzee)
Lineage: Eukaryota; Metazoa; Chordata; Mammalia; Primates; Hominidae
Description: lncRNA (ENSPPAG00000044242.1)
Source: RNAcentral
UGAAGACGGGUUAAAAAGAGUCCUAGAGGCUUAAAUGGAAGUGAAUGAGAUGUCUUAUUGCUGUACAUCAUCGGUUUUGUUUUUAUCUGGUGUUGAGUUGGCUCAUUAAGUUCUGUGUUCCAAGUGUUUAUUUGUCUAUUGUCACUUUCCAGUCAGCUCUUUGUAGCCUACAGAAAUGGAAGAGUGGAUGAAGCAGUCUCUGGGUUUUCUGGAUUGCUGGAUAGGUGGAGACCUGACAAAUUUCAAAGGCUGCUACCUGACUAACCAACUGCCUAUUCAGGAUGAGCAGAAGGGUACAAAUCUGCCUUUGGGAAAUACAUCUGAAAUGCAGAGAUAAACAAGUUUGCAUCUACGAAAGGAGAAUUGGAGAGAGGGGAGAAUUGAAAACACACCAGUGGUUAGAACAGAAGAGGAAAGUCCACUGCCCUUUAAGUUGAAACAGAAGGAAAGACAUGAAGGAAAGCCUUGAAUGAAAUGAAAUAAAC